This is a long non-coding RNA of Nilaparvata lugens (brown planthopper), 1175 nucleotides long. RefSeq lists it as uncharacterized. The record is from RefSeq and is a predicted model, not a curated record. Lineage: Eukaryota; Metazoa; Arthropoda; Insecta; Hemiptera; Delphacidae. The transcript is spliced from 3 exons.
GAAAAUGAGGGUUGAAUGAAAUCAAGAUUAUGAAAAGCAAUAUAUUUGCUUUGAUAGGCGAUGUUCCAAAUUUUCCUUGCACAACACACAAAUUUUGAGACAUAAAUGGUGGUUCUUAUAAGCUUCAGUGUGACAGAAUAGAGGAGUUUCAAAGUAAUAUAAAUACUAGUAUACAAGUGAUUUUUUGUUCCUCCAAGUAACAUAACUUGUGUGAAGUCCAAGUACAUUUCAUAUUUGAGACACAAACGUUCAUCAUGAAUGCAUAAGUGUGACAGAAUAAACGUUUGUCAAAGUAAUAUACUAGUAAACAAGUAAUUUUCUGUUCCUACAAGUAACAUAACCAUGUGUGAUGAUCCAAGUACAUUACUUAUUGACACAUUAAAGUUGUCGACUGAUAGGAAAGUGUGAAUGAAUUAAAAUCUACAAACAUAUCAGUGAAAAAUGAGUGAAAAAACUUGCGUUACCUUCCAAGUGAAUCAUGAAUAAUUAUAUAAAUUAGGACACAUAGAGCUGGUAGGAAUGAUACAUGUCCUGUCCGCUAAUUUAUAUUGACAAUCGAACGUGGAGUGAAUUUGUGAACGGUUACCGCUAAAACGUCGUGAUGUUUCUACAAGUUGACAAGACAUCGAUACACAUGAGCAACUCGUAAACCCACACUAUUGCAGCAUUCUAGAGGGAAUAUCUAGUGGAGAGUGAUAACAUUUACGAUGUGUCUUGCUGUAUCGGUUCCAAGCACCAAAGUUACAACGAACUACAUCGGAAUAACAUUCAUCAACAAGUGAAUAGGAACUGGUAACAGUAACAGUUACAGGAACUGGUUACAGUAACUGUAACUCAACAAGUGCGCAAGUAACUGGAAGUCGGAGUACAGUGACAGAUCGAUCUCUCAACUGAUUUCACUCAAACCAGGAAUACCUACAACCAGCUAUGGAAAUCAAAAUUUAGAUACAAAUUGCAUAUCAUUUCCACAACAGAGAAGGACUGAGCAUGGGAUCAAUCAGCACUAGUAUAAUAUGACGGAGCAUGAGCGACUCAGUGGAGAGUGAGACAGAUGCUGCUGAUGCCUCAAUGAUAAUGUGAGGUGUUCAACACCACUCUACAACACCAAACUCAAGAGACCAAUUUCAUUCAUAUCGUCUACACCAUACCGACCGUAGAAACACCAGCAUAAACAU